RNAcentral lists this unclassified non-coding RNA (263 nucleotides) under plant metagenome. Its description in RNAcentral is "partial contains small subunit ribosomal RNA, internal transcribed spacer 1, and 5.8S ribosomal RNA". The record is from RNAcentral.
UUUCCGUAGGUGAACCUGCGGAAGGAUCAUUAUUGUAUAACCGAGGUGCGAGAGCUGUCGCUGACCCGAAAGGUCGUGCACCCCCGCGUGCCCUCACACACAUCCAUCUCACCCCUAUGUGCACCACCGCGUGGGUCCCCCUUUGGCUUGUUCGGAGGGGGGCUUACCUUUUCACACAAACUUUGUAUGCAGUGUAGAAUGUAUUUUUUGUUUUUGCGAUCACGCAAUCAAUACAACUUUCAACAACGGAUCUCUUGGCUCUC